Sycon ciliatum is the source of this 1982-nucleotide long non-coding RNA. RefSeq lists it as uncharacterized. Lineage: Eukaryota; Metazoa; Porifera; Calcarea; Leucosolenida; Sycettidae. The record is from RefSeq and is a predicted model, not a curated record. The transcript is spliced from 6 exons.
UUGAAAUUAUUAAUACUUUGAAGUAUUAUUAUUAUGCAAUGGUCUCCUGAGUUGUCGGGUCGUCUUGCCAGUAGUUGCACUACCAUGCAAAGAGGCUUGCACCUGAAGCAGCUCCGCGGCGCUCCAACCGUCGAGAUAUGCGCCGUGUGCGAUAAGUCCUGUGCAAGCAAAGGAGCCUUAGCUAGGCACAAGCUCCGCUACCACGCUUCCUUGUCCCCCUACAGCGAGGACAAGUUUCACCCUUGCCUGAUAUGCGAGGGCUCCUUUAGGCAGAACCCAACAACGUGAAAGCGAAUAUGAACAUUAUAGUUCUUACAGUGGAAGGAAGAAGAGGAAUCUGCCGCAGGGACCCACUUUGUGAAGCCACGCGGCUCAAAUAGUCAUGGCGGUUCAACGUAUGCCUGCAACAGAAGUGGCACCUCCAGAUGCAAGAAAACAGAACCUGUGACGUCUUCAGCAAAGCUUGACACAGCGUCCAUAGCCCGCAUGUAUUCGCAAGGCCAGGCUAACAGAAACACAAAUGCGAGGUAUAUUGCAACGCAGUAACAACGGAUGGUGUGGAAAGUUGCUGGUGUGAAGUCGCUUGCAAACCCCGCAGUUGUCUUGUUGGAACUAUCUACCGCCCUCCAUCUGAACCUGUAAUUUGCAGUCUAAAGAGGAAGAGGUCCGACAUUUGGCAGCAUAUAUUUCAGCAGCAACGGCAUUCCCCAGUAUUUGUCUCAAUCAGCUGGGCGGUGACAGCACUCAUGGGGACAACCCAGUCCACAGAGUGUUCUGGAAGCUUGCCAGAGCCCGAUCGAAUGCACUCCUGAAAGGUUCUCGAAUUGUACAAGCCGAACGCCAACCUCCUACAGUACUCCUCAUGCAUGACAUUGUGAUGGACUAGUUGACAAUUCAAUAGUUUAAUAGUUGACAAUAGUUGUACAAUUCGUUUUCGCAAAGCUUCCCCCUUCUCAGGCUUCUGUACUUAUCUUUUGAUAUUUCUGAGCCACCCAAGUUGGGUGGUGUGCUGCUGUGCUGCUUCGAAUUGUAGUUAGACCGCUUUGUCAAGUAUCCUACUGGUCUCGUCAUCGUCCAGUAACAAUCGACAUUCUUUGUUCCGUUGGGACUGUAGCUUGUGCUCAUUUUCGUUCCGCUUACUAGUAACCUUCCCCGCUUUGGUCUCUCCAUAAUAGGAAUUGGCGGAUAUUGCUUGAAACGGUGGCAGAUUCUGCUCGAAAAGCAGUGAAAUUGGCAGAACCAUACAAACCUUAUGGCGGGCAAUUCCUCGAAUUCUGCUCCAUUUCUUUAUCCACAUACCAAACAUGACAUGAAACCUACCCGAAAAAGUACCAAAUUAUGCCAAUUUUUCUGCCGCCAUUAUCGCAUAUGCCUACUCCAUAACCUUGAGCCUUCCGAGUCGGAAGGCUGUCGGUUAGCGCUAAGGAGAUGCGUUGAAGCUAGGUGUCAAGACGUCGAAUAUCUCAGUACUCUGUCAAUGUUGUGCCUAGUUGUUGCACUUUCUGACUGUAUAUAAUGGAUUCUGCCAGCAGAAAGAUUGGCAGAAUUCGGUACUUUUUCGGGUAAGUUUCAUGCAUGUUUGGUAUGUGGAUAAAGAAAUGGAGCAGAAUUCAAGUAAUUGCCCGCCAUAAGGUUUGUAUGGUUCUGCCAAUUUCACUGCUUUUCGAGCAGAAUCUGCCGGUCCCUACUUGUAGUAAGGUCACUGUUUCCGAACACAGUGUCCUCCACCUUGUUUCAUGCUGUCAAACUAACAACAUGUACAUGUACAUGACUUGUACUAGUAGGUCUACAAACCAGGCAGACGCUAUCUGGCAACACACACACCCUCUUCUAAUGAUUCUCAUGCGCCGCAACAGUAGCGAGAGUUUGUGGGAAUCCGGAGAGAAUAGUGUGUUGGUCGGCUCAAAUUGUCAAAUGUUCAAAAUGCUGCUGAACCUUUCAAAUUAUUCAUUAUUUCAAUUUUGUUGGGCCUCUGGUGUGAA